CGAUCUUUUUUCUACAGGUUUUGCUGCAGUAAGUAAAUAUUGUUGUAGUCGUACGUUGAUUUAUGUUAAAAGCGUUUUAUAAUGUGCAUUGCGCAAUGUUUCAUUAAUCAUCCCUUAGUUAAUUUCGUUAUUAGUUCUUAUUACAAUGUCUAGGGAAACAUAAUACUUUGUUCUUAUCUGUGUUCAGUUUGUAAACUAAGCUAAUAUUCCUUAAUUUUUGACACUUUCAGUAAGGAAUUACUAAUCACAAAAAAAUAAUCCUAUUUUUGUCUAAAUAAUUUAAUUAGGAAGUAUCCCAUUUAAUAAACAGUAACUUUAACUAUAUAGUUGUGGAAAUGCUAAUUGAUGUUGCAGUCUGUAAUACUGAUUUGUAUUCCUGACAAUUAAUUUUCAAGAAUUAUCCUGUUCGCAGUCCCAGAUGCAGUUGUCCCUGUAUUGUUGAUCAACAAAUCUGGAAAAGAUUUUAUAAUUGUUUUGAAUAAUAGAAAUUUUAACUAUCGUUACUUCAUCUGUUACAUUCAUUAGCUUUUGUUCACUGUCUAUAGAUAUUCAGGUGGUAUUUCUACAUAGGCUGUGAUGCUGGCUAGAAUUCCUGGCUGUGGCUCUGCAUCUCAUGGUAGUUUCUAGUUUGGUGAAAUGGUGGGUUUGUAGAGUGGUGAAUUAUAAGGUGAUAGUUUUUAUAAAUGUUAUGACUUAUGAAUUUAAUAGAAGUUGAAUUUGCUGACAAUUUUUAUUUAGUUGUGGGGGUGAUUUACUCAUUGUUCAGGAGGUUUGAAUGAUUGUAAGUUACUUUUAAUGAGGUCUUUAUCUGCAGGUGGUAGAUAAGAAGUUCAUGUGUAUGAAGAUGGAUGUGGAAAAUUGGUGUUGGCUGCUGUGUGACUGGCUUAUUAACACUAACAAUUACCUGUGCCUGUAUUUUUUCUAGUCCAUUCUACAGGGCUAGGUUGCUCAGUAUCAGGGAAUUGCGAGCACUGAACUGGACUGCCAGGAAAUAGUGUCAUGUAUUUCGAGGAGGCUGUCAACCACGUAGUAGGGGAGCAAUUUAUUAAGGUACAUAGAAAUAGUUCUGUAGGCAAUAAACGUUUUCUAUUUGGUAGGUCCAAAGGGCUACCUGUUCUACAUCUGGCCUAACUAAAGUAGUCAAUGGACGGAGAAUAGCAUCUUUGAUGACGAAGGAUAUGAACUUCGAUUUGAAGCAACAAAUGUUUAACCCGCUAUUAGUGCUGGGUCAUGCACUCUUGAAUAGAUUUGUCUAGAACAUUUUUUAAUGAAUUGUUGGAGCCGAUAUUGCGCUGAUUUUGGUGGUUCCCGGGACGUAAGGUUGAAAUGGGUGCUAAAGGAAUUUGUCCCUUAAAACUUCGUCGACCCCUAUUUUCUAUGGCCCUGUUUCCUCUGACUUGUGAUAAAUUCGCGGUGGUAAAGUCGUUACCUGAUCAGUUGGCUAGAAGUAUGCGAAUGAAUUCUGAUUACGUUAAUUCGCUUACGUGAAAUUUCGUCCUUAGUAAAUGUUAUUUUUCGGUUCUAUUAGCCACCCGAUUGGUAAUAUCCGCGUUUGUCUAUUGUACCGUUUUUGUCAUGUUUAUAAUGUACAUAUGUUGAUAUAUCAAUAAAACAAUUUUAUGAUAA
This 1626-nucleotide long non-coding RNA is filed under the name Daphnia magna. Its description in RNAcentral is "uncharacterized LOC116929966, transcript variant X7". The record is from RNAcentral. Lineage: Eukaryota; Metazoa; Arthropoda; Branchiopoda; Diplostraca; Daphniidae.